RNAcentral lists this ribosomal RNA (253 nucleotides) under uncultured bacterium. RNAcentral's name for it is "partial 16S ribosomal RNA". It matches the Rfam family "Bacterial small subunit ribosomal RNA", at positions 524 to 776 of the family's 1533-position model. The record is from RNAcentral.
GACAGAGGGUGCAAACGUUGUUCGGAAUUACUGGGCGUAAAGCGUGUGUAGGCGGUCUCGUAAGUCAGGUGUGAAAGCCCGGGGCUCAACCCCGGAAGUGCACUUGAUACUGCUUGACUUGAGUACUGGAGAGGUUGGUGGAAUUCUCGGUGUAGAGGUGAAAUUCGUAGAUAUCGAGAGGAACACCGGUGGCGAAGGCGGCCAACUGGACAGAUACUGACGCUGAGACACGAAAGCGUGGGGAGCAAACAGG